UGGGGACUCUGUUGUGCGUCACCUGCAGGCGCUUGAACAAUACGGUGCGCUUCUUUAUCAUGGCCGACCCUAAAUGAGUGGUUGAGCGGCCGAACUGCCACUGCCAUAGCUCUCUGAAGCCAGCCGAAGUUCAGGGGUCGUCAGCCGCGGAGAGCAGAUAAGGCAGAGAUACUGGGACUGGUCAGAUAGUGAAUUUGAAUGGCAGGUGUCAUAGUGCUUUGCACCAUGAAAAUUAAAAAAACACUAAGAAGAUAUUUUCUUUUAAAAUUCUUUGCUGAGUUAUAUUAAGUUUUGAAACACUUCAAUUCCUGCCCAAGGCUGCUCUGGGAGACAUCUGGUGUUCUAGUUGGUCAGUCAUUACCAGCCAGAGAAGAGAAAUGAUGCCGAGUAUUUUUCCAGUCCUUCAGAUGCUGGAAUUCUAAUUCCUACUCCACUGAUCUGCUCUCUCCCAUGUAAUGCCCUUAUGUGGAUGGAUUUAAAGAGGUGAGGAGAGAAGCAAACUUGUAAACACACAUGUGCGUGCGUGCGUGUGUGUGUGUGUGUGUGUGUGUGCGCGCACGUGUGUACUAAUGAUUGUACCCGGAGCGCUCUCUAUCACUGAGUUACAUUCCCCAACCCUUUUUAUUAUUUUAUUUUGAGACAGGGUCUUGCUAAAUUACUGAGGCUGGCCUUGAACUUGAAAUCUUCCUGCCUCGGCCUCCUGAGUUGUUGGGGUUUCAGGUCUGUGCCACUGUACCCAGAUAAAACUGUUAUGUUUUGAGACAUCAGGCACUAUAGUCAGACAUUUUAUAUAAUUAUUUAAUUGCCAUGAAACCCUGAGAGAUUAAUUUUAUCUUUCAUUUUAUACCUCAGCCUGCUUCAGCAAUUAAUAACAGGUAUUAUCAGUCCUCUUUCAGUUAUACCAUCAUCUGACAACACAUAUUAUUUUCAGACAGCUCCCAGACAAUCUCAUCAUAUUAUUUCAUUUUGAAAUACUUUUUUGCUGGGCACAGUGGCACACACCAGUAAUCCCAGCAGCACAGCCUGAGGUAGGAGGGUCACAAGUUUGAAGCCAGCCUCAGUAACUUAGUGAG
This is a non-coding RNA of Ictidomys tridecemlineatus (thirteen-lined ground squirrel), 1073 nucleotides long. The record is from RefSeq and is a predicted model, not a curated record. Lineage: Eukaryota; Metazoa; Chordata; Mammalia; Rodentia; Sciuridae.